Molecule: ribosomal RNA, 476 nt
Filed under: uncultured bacterium
Lineage: Bacteria
Description: bacterial SSU rRNA
Rfam family: Bacterial small subunit ribosomal RNA
Source: RNAcentral
GACGAACGCUGGCGGCGUGCCUAACACAUGCAAGUCGAACGGAGAGGACAUGAAGUAUUUCGGUACGGAAUGCUCUCUUAGUGGCGAACGGGUGAGUAACACGUGGGCAACCUGCCCCAGACUGGGGGAUAACAUUGUGAAAACAGUGCUAAUACCGCAUGACAGGGUUCCGGGCAUCCGGGACCCUUGAAAGGAGAAAUCCGGUCAGGGAUGGGCCCGCGUCCAAUUAGCUAGUUGGCGGGUAACGGCCCACCAAGGCGACGAUUGGUAGCCGAACUGAGAGGUUGAUCGGCCACAUUGGGACUGAGACACGGCCCAGACUCCUACGGGAGGCAGCAGUGGGGAAUAUUGGGCAAUGGGCGAAAGCCUGACCCAGCGACGCCGCGUGAAGGAUGAAGGUCUUCGGAUUGUAAACUUCUUUGAUCAGGGAAGAAAGAAAUGACGGUACCUGAAAACAAGCCACGGCUAACUACGUG